Myiozetetes cayanensis is the source of this 4301-nucleotide long non-coding RNA. RefSeq lists it as uncharacterized. The record is from RefSeq and is a predicted model, not a curated record. The transcript has 5 exons. NCBI's taxonomy places the organism in Eukaryota, Metazoa, Chordata, Aves, Passeriformes, Tyrannidae.
CACUGUGUAUUUUUAUUUUAACUUCCAUGGGUAAGAAUUCACUGUGGAGGAGAAUUUUGUGUUAAGCUUCUCAACACUUGGCCUGCAUUGUCCUCCAGGUGUCUUGAGCUGCUUUGCAAAUGGAAUCAAUGGUUGUUCUUAGGAAACAUCAGUGCCUGUUUUGUGUUGGGCAAUGGUUGUAAUGUACCUUGGAGAUAGGCUGGGCUCUGUGGGGGUUAGGAACAGAUUUAAGCCUUGCUGUGGAUGGUGGGAUUGCACUUACUUGCACUGCAGAAGAAACUGGACCUUGGACCUGGCCUUCCACCGAGAACCAGGACACUCUUAGAACCUUCAGCUUCUGGAUCCUCUGGAUUUUCACUUCCAGGGAGCCAUUAUGUGACAGUUUGCAGCUUAUUUUGAGAAGCCUUCACACCACAAGUACCCAGCUGAGCAUCUUAUGGGCUGAAACUCCCUGUGUUUGGUACUGCAUGGAUCAGACAAGGAGAGGGGCCUGUUAGUGUGGAUGGCUGAUGAGGCCAGUCAUUUAAACAAGUGUUUGUAAAGAGUGUUAAGGCUUUUAGGCUGUGUGCCUCUGAGCUGUAAGAUUGACAUGAGUGUUUGAGAGAGGAAAACCAUCUAAAAAAAAAACCAAACCUUUGUACUUCCAGUAGGAGUCAGGCUAUGAACACCCCAGUCCUGCUGCCUCAAUCCUCACAGGAGUCAUUCUGAAGGGGGAAAUCCCAUUAAGUCAUAAUAGGGCUCUUAAGUAGUUCCCUCAGAUGAAUUUGUGGCACUCUGCAAGUCCCAUAAUUCCCAAUAUACAGAUGAAGAAGCUGAGGUUAAGUGACUUAGCCAAGGUCAUGUAGCAAAUCAAUAACCACUCCAGCACCCCUCUAGUUGCCUCCAUGUGUCUCCGGCUUCAGUGAGGACACUGCCAGCACCUGCCAAAGGGAAAUUAUCAUCCCCACCACGGCCCAGCCAUGGAAACUCAGGGUUUGAAAUGUUGAAUCACGUGGCUAAACAGGUACAUAAAAAAGCUGGUGGUGUUAAGAAACGGGGGUUUCUGAGUUCAAUCUAAGCUUGCUUCCCACGAGUGGCUGUUCCCAAGGAAAAGGGUUGUUUGUCCUGGGAUCAGGCAGACUGUAAUUCUGGGACUCGUAGGAUGCUUAUUUUAGUUCAUUUAUGUGUUGUCUUUAUCAUAGAGUCAGAGAAUGGUUUGGGUUGAAGGGGACUUUAAAUCUGAUCUGAUUCCACCCCCUGCCAUGGGCAGGGACACCUUUCACUAGCCCAGGUUGCCCCAAGCCCCGUCCAACCUGGCCUUGGGAUGGGGCAGCCACAGCUUCUCUGGGCAACCUGGACCAGGGCCUCACCACCCUCACAGGGAACAAUUUCUUCCCAAUAUCCUAUCUAAAUCUAUCCUCUGUUAAGUUUAAGGCUAUUCUCCCCUUAUCUCUUGUUCCUCUUCCCACCACAGCUCUCUGGGGUCAGAGGGGAAUGGGAGAUGCUGGAUGUAGACAUCUGGUAUUGCCCAAGAGGGCUGUUUCUCCUUAUGACAGUGCCUUGCUCCCCUGUUCUUUUCUCGCAGCUUUUCUAGAGCUAAUUCCCAGCUCUUUGAAUUGCUGGUCCUGCUCUUGCAGUUGCAGUGGCCGGUGCUUGAUAAUCUGGGUCCGUUUCCUUUCCCAGGAAAACAGGACAAAAGCAUAGAGAAUGAACACAACCUGUGUGUUGGGAUCAACCCACUGUCCUUGGCUUUGCUGUGUUCCCUGUAGUGCCUCCUGCAGCCCUGUGGGAUGGUGCUCCAGGAGGCUGGAAAGGAGAGGUCAAUGAUAAGUUGUUCUCCAUGUCAGGCUCCUUCCAACUUUGCUGCGAGGUCUCAGAAGGACAGCAUGUAUUUCAUGUAUGCCCCUCUCUGCUUCCUGAUCAGCUUUUCUGCAUGUGUUUGGCACUUGCCAGACCUCUGGCAUCCCUACUGCUGUCCAGCUUAACAUGCAGGAAAGGAGCUUUUGGGAAUUCUGCAGGACAGCAACUCUGCAGGUAGAAGGGUGAGGAUGAAGAUCAGCCUCCUGCACUAUCUCCCACAGCUUUAUGACUUUCCAGCUCCUCCAGAAAUGCCCUGACCUAAUCCAAGAGCCCCUCUGUGUCCUAUCCCCGGUGCUGUGCCUGCAUUGCAAGCACUAAGCUCCUGCUCAGCCUUUCCCAGCAGCAGGGAGGGCAGGGUGGACUGCCACUGCUGUCUCCCAUCUUGCUGGGGUGAUGGAUGGCAGCUCCUGCAGAGGAGCGCUUGGUAUUGGAUAGCUCCUGGAGGAUUUCCAACCUGGCUUUGAAGUUGGCCAAGUGUUAAACUUGUUUUGAUGGUUUUUAUGUAUUGGAGCAGUUUUCUGUGUUUAUUUUGGGGUGAUAUCCCAGCACCCCAGCUGCUGCUGGAAGGAUGCUCUGGGAGGGCACCAUCCCUGAAAACAACCCUCCCUUCAGCAGUGCAUGGCAAAGCUCCCGUGUUUCACAUUCAGUGGGAGGCACAGGAGAUAUUUUGGACUGCAAACUGUGGCUUUAAAAAAACCCACUCAGCAGUGAUUUGAGGUUUUCUUCUCGAAGCCUUACUGACUUUGAAUAUAUACUGCCUCUGUUUUUGUGAGCAGGCUCUCCAGCAAGACGGACCUGUUCCAGGGAUUGUUGUGCCUCAGGUAUCAGCUGCUCCUUUUGUAGAUGGGAUGACUUAGGCCCCCUGUUCCCUGCCGUCCUCUGGUUUGAUUUCACCUUCCUUCACAUCGUGGCAUUUCAGAGAAAGCUCCCUGUUUGGUAGAGCAGCUGUGCUGUCUUAAUUCAGCUGUAAUGUGUGUUUGUCCAGGUGCUGCCGGUGGGGCACAGCAGCACUAGGAAGAUGUUUUAUGAGAUCCUUUCCAAGUCCUACUAAUCUCUGAGUCUCUCUAGGAUUUGUGGAUAUCAGCUGUGCUGCUUUUGCUUCGUGGGAUGGGGUUGGAACCUGAAGAUGGGAAAUCAGUUGCGUGUGAUCCCUUAUCUGCCUCGUCUCACUGUUACCUCUCCCCUCCCGGCUGUUUCCAGCAGCCAAAGAGGGGUUAGUCGUUGUAUUCCAGACCUUAAACCAUGUUGGGGGAGUUCGAACAUAGCUGAGCAGCUUCAGAGAGGGUCCUACCUGCUUGUUUGUGGAGCUUGCUGGUGGCACUGGAGACCUUCCCCUGCAGCCUGGAUCCCAGGGAACGUUCCCACUCCUGCACCACCGAGUGCCAGCAUCGAGAUUAAGAUCCUGGAGAAAAACGUCCAGCAGUCCCCAGCUGAGAGCAGAGCUUUCCCUGCACAGCCCUGGUGGAUAAGAAGCUCAACAAGACCUGGGACCCAGAAACCCCCCGUGUGCUGGGCUGAGUCCAGAGAAGUGUGGGCAGCAGAUGAGGGGGGACUGUUCCCCUCUGCCCUACUUAGGACUCAUUCCCUUUGGUCAGCUCUGCCACACCCUCAGGCUUCCAGGAGGCUUCAAGGAGACUCUUCUUCCCAAGGCAGUGGAACGGUGUCCAUGUGGAAACUUGCUGUGCCCAUGGAAGUGCUGAAGAAGACACUGCAUCUGCCAUGGCACCAUCCUGGAGCUGCAAGGGAACACCACAGAGCUUGGCAGUGACCCAAGGGCCACCUCUGCCCCAACUGAUGCUGCCUUUGAGGGACUUCUCUGUUGUAGCCUGGGAUCCCUUUCCUGUGCCAGCUGGAAUCGGUACCUCGAAAAGCACCCCAAAAAAAUCAACACUUUUGUCCAAAAAAACCCCAAAAACCCAAAAACCACGGAAGAAGCAAGAUGAAUCCUGGAUCAAGUACCAAAGAUGGACCACUGCAGUUCUACUCAAAUCCACGGGUCCUGCUGCUAAAACCUCGAUGAAAGGAAAGUACCCUGAAGCACAGGAGGGGCUGCGGGGAGCCGUGACAGUCGUGAGGCAAAGCACAUGUUCAAACAAGCCCCGGGCAGGCAGGGGGGUUGAGGGUUUUCUUCCCUCCCAACCCCUUUGCUCCAAGCCUCUGACCGUUGGAUUCUCCCUCCUGCACCGCCAGAACUGCGGCUCCUCGUCCUGUGGCUUUGAGCUCAUUUGUCAAACCCAGAGAUCUUUAUGAAAGGCUGUUAGCAGAGCAUUUACUUCCCAUUUCUCAUCCCAUGCUGUCAUCACCUCCCAAGAUUAAUUAAGGAAAAAAGACAAAGAAAAGACGUCUUGUCUCUCUUUUGUUUCCCCAUUCCUUGCAUUUUUUUUUUCCGCCCCUUUCUCUCUGUUCACGUCCUGAAUAUUGCUGGGGAGCAAAAUAAGCGAAACUCGAUAUUUUCCUCUUCC